UCUGAAAUGGAAAGAUGCUCUCAACAUGGAAAACGAAGCAGUGUUACUAGGGAAACUGAAUCACAUUGUCUUACCGUGCAUGAAAAAGAAAAUCACUCUUACUGAAAAACAUCUAUUUUUCAAACUAUUGUUAAGAGUAGAGAAGAAAUUAAGCAUAUACAUCUGAAGAACAAUUUUUAGAGAAAUAAGAUUUGGUGAACAAGAGGAGAAAGAAUUAUGCAGAGGCACUUCCAGAGGAUAGAAAAUCUGGAGCACUACUGUUUGUUGUCAAAGAAAAUAUGCUGCCAUGAGAAUAAAUUGAGAUAUAUUUCUUUUUUCGUUGUUUAUAAGUUUCAAAAUUCAACUUUCACAUUGCUUAAUAAAGAAUAGGCCUGCACCAAAAUUUAUGGUCUCAAAGCAGUGGCCACCAUGAAACCUCCUAUUGGUAACUGGUGGGAUUCCACCAAAAAUAAAAAAAUGAAAAAAUGAAAAACUAAGCUCAGCAUCAAUCUUGCCAAACUCUUUAGACUUUGUUAAGAUGGAUGCAAGAGUUUUGGAAAAAAAUUAACUAUUGGUUUUCCAUGAUUACUGCCUUAUGCUUGAGUUUAGAAAAGAAACCCCUGGAAAGAGUCUUUAUUAGUCCAAAAAUCUCAAAGAAGUCUAUUUCUAAUCCUCAAAACAGCUAGGUGGUAUUCACAAGCUACAUGAAAUAUAUCAGGAAGGUUAUGUGAAAUCAUUGCAGGUACAUGAUCCAAAGUUAUAUAUAGCCUCUACAAGGAUUUGGAUAAUCAAAAGAUGAAUUCUGUUAGUAAACGGAUAGACAAGGAAACAACUAAGGUCAAGCAUAUGUGUUCCUUAAAUAGAUACAAGCCUGUGAUAUCUGAAGUAAUAUGCUCAUUCCUGGAAACAAUCUUAUAAAUGGAGGUAAAGCUCAUUAAAAGGUUUCUGUUGCCCAAAUUCAAGAUCCUUCCACCAUCUUAUCUGACAUUCUAGGGAAGAGAGGUCAUGCUUUUACAACAGUAAUUUAAAAAAAACAGUCCCCGUUUUUUCUGUUACCUCAACGGCAGUGGAUAAUUCUUCUUCCUUAAAUUUCUAUCGGCAGUCAAAAGAAAAUAAGAGAAACAGCCUAAUUCUUGUUAUUAAGCGCUUUAUUGUCUUCCUUUCUCAAGAGAAAUGACCCUUCAGACGUUGGAAUCAACUAAAACUUAUUAAGGUAUUUAUUUUCCUUAAAACUCUAAAUAUACUUUCAGGAAGAUUAAGCUCGGAUCAAGUUGCCAAAAAAGGUAUAGGGAUUAGGGACCGGUGACAUCCAAUCAAUCCCCAAGAUCAUCCAAUUCUCCCAGGGCAUUGGAGGCUCAAUGAACAUGAAUUUAGCUAAUAUAAAAGUUUCAUGAAUCUUCCCAAGCUUUCUGUGCAGCUGCAUUUCAGAUCUUCCUUAGCAAUAUAUCUACGAUCCCCUCCCCAAACAUGUGUACUGUAGAUUAAUAUGAACAAUUCGGGUUACAAAAGUACACCUACUACGAAGGCAACAGCAAAGCAAGGCUAGUGACUAUUGCCCCAACUGGAUUCAUCCGCGGAGCUUUAUGGAAAGCAUGAUCCUUGCAGACGCACCACCAAGAGAAUUUGUCUUGUUGAUGUUUGAUUUUUCUUUUAUGCAACAGAGAGAGAGAAUAAAGUAGGGUUAGCAUUUUCAGCAGAACUGCAAGUUACCUCAACAUAGUAUGAUAAUCAUCAUGACGAGCUGGAAGGAGAUCCUUCUCCAACAAGGCCUGGCGAAAUGAAUUCACUGCCUCCUCUUCCUUCUCGUCUCGAAAAUCUUCAGUUGAAAUGGAAGCAAAUCGGCAAUGAGCGACUCGUUUACUACGUCUUUUGAGCGAAUGCGUUAGCUUUGUGGAAGCGUUCAUUGCCUUUUUCUUCAAAGAUCUGAUUCGAGUUCUUCUCUUCUCGUCCUCAGAUGCCUCAAAAUAAUAUCUUUUUGUUCUUUCGUGAUCGUGAACUCCAACAAUUUCUUAAAAAAACAAAAGGAAUCGAUUCAGUUCUAGAACUCGUUAAAAGUAAACUUAGAACUAUGUGCAGCUGAAUCCAAAUUUGCCACAAAAUACCUGGCAUUGUGCUUCUCAAAUCCUAAUUACACCGUGAUAUUGCGCAAAGCAAUCCAGUUCUUCAAUUUUGAAAUUAUAUCGUGAACCUCCACAAAUCAAAAUCAUAAAAUCAGUAAUGAAACGGUAACAUUAACGCGAAAAUUUCAGAUCGUCGACCAACGUCGUACGAGAAAUCGUUCCGUUUGAAAUAAUCAAAAGAGAAACUCCAUUAACGGUUGGGACACAAAUAA
Long non-coding RNA from Capsicum annuum, 2311 nucleotides. RefSeq lists it as uncharacterized. The record is from RefSeq and is a predicted model, not a curated record. NCBI's taxonomy places the organism in Eukaryota, Viridiplantae, Streptophyta, Magnoliopsida, Solanales, Solanaceae. The transcript is spliced from 2 exons.